GACGAACGCUGGCGGCGUGCUUAACACAUGCAAGUCGAACGGUAAGGCCCUUCGGGGUACACGAGUGGCGGACGGGUGAGUAACACGUGGGUGAUCUGCCCUGCACUUCGGGAUAAGCCUGGGAAACUGGGUCUAAUACCGGAUAGGACCACUGCCUGCAUGGGGGGUGGUGGAAAGCUUUUGCGGUGUGGGAUGGGCCCGCGGCCUCUCAGCUUGUUGGUGGGGUGAUGGCCUACCAAGGCGACGACGGGUAGCCGGCCGGAGAGGGUGACCGGCCACACUGGGACUGAGCGACGGCCCAGACUCCUACGGGAGGCAGCAGUGGGGAAUAUUGCACAAUGGGCGCAAGCCUGAUGCAGCGACGCCGCGUGAGGGAUGACGGCCUUCGGGUUGUAAACCUCUUUCAGCACCGACGAAGCGCAAGUGACGGUAGGUGCAGAAGAAGGACCGGCCAACUACGUGCCAGCCGCCGCGGUAA
Molecule: ribosomal RNA, 478 nt
Filed under: uncultured bacterium
Lineage: Bacteria
Description: partial 16S ribosomal RNA
Rfam family: Bacterial small subunit ribosomal RNA
Source: RNAcentral